UACGGAGGGGGCGAGCGUUAUUCGGAAUUAUUGGGCGUAAAGGGCGCGUAGGCGGCUGUACAAGUCAAAGGUGAAAUCCCUCGGCUCAACUGAGGAACUGCCUUUGAAACUGUACGGCUUGAGGCCGGGAGGGGGUAGCGGAAUUCCCAGUGUAGCGGUGAAAUGCGUAGAUAUGUGGAGGAACACCGAUGGCGAAGGCAGCCCCCUGGGUCAAGACUGACGCUCAUGCACGAAAGCGUGGGGAGCAAACAGG
RNAcentral lists this ribosomal RNA (253 nucleotides) under uncultured bacterium. RNAcentral's name for it is "partial 16S ribosomal RNA". It matches the Rfam family "Bacterial small subunit ribosomal RNA", at positions 524 to 776 of the family's 1533-position model. The record is from RNAcentral.